RNAcentral lists this ribosomal RNA (154 nucleotides) under uncultured bacterium. RNAcentral's name for it is "partial 16S ribosomal RNA". It matches the Rfam family "Bacterial small subunit ribosomal RNA", at positions 355 to 509 of the family's 1533-position model. The record is from RNAcentral.
UGAGGAAUUUUGCACAAUGGAGGAAACUCUGAUGCAGCGACGCCGCGUGCGGGAUGAAGGAGCUUAGCUCUGUAAACCGCUGUCGGGUGGGAAGAGAAGCCCUAGUAAGGGCUGGGACUGUACCACCAAAGGAAGCACCGGCUAACUACGUGCC